Molecule: ribosomal RNA, 273 nt
Filed under: uncultured bacterium
Lineage: Bacteria
Description: partial 16S ribosomal RNA
Rfam family: Bacterial small subunit ribosomal RNA
Source: RNAcentral
UACGAAGGGGGCUAGCGUUGCUCGGAAUUACUGGGCGUAAAGCGCACGUAGGCGGACCGAUAAGUCGGGGGUGAAAUCCUGGAGCUCAACUCCAGAACUGCCUUCGAAACUGCCGGUCUUGAGUUCGGGAGAGGUGAGUGGAACUGCGAGUGUAGAGGUGAAAUUCGUAGAUAUUCGCAAGAACACCAGUGGCGAAGGCGGCUCACUGGCCCGAUACUGACGCUGAGGUGCGAAAGCGUGGGGAGCAAACAGGAUUAGAAACCCGGGUAGUCC